Molecule: ribosomal RNA, 497 nt
Filed under: uncultured bacterium
Lineage: Bacteria
Description: partial 16S ribosomal RNA
Rfam family: Bacterial small subunit ribosomal RNA
Source: RNAcentral
GAUGAACGCUGGCGGCGUGCCUAAUACAUGCAAGUCGAGCGAAAAGGCGACGAGCUUGCUCGUUUGACGUUAGCCGCAGACGGGUGAGUAACAUGUGGAUAACCUACCUAUCAGACUGGGAUCCCUUCGUGAAACCGGAGUUAAUACCUGAUAACAUCAUGAUCCGCCUGGCCCAACAGUGAAUGACGGUCUUCCUUUGACUUAUACAUGGAUCCGCGCCGCAUUAGCUAGUUGGUAAGCUAACGGCUUACCAAGGCAUCGAUGAGUAGCUGAACUGCGAGGGUGAUAGGCCACACUGGAACUGAGACACGGUCCAGACUACUACGGGAGGCAGCAGUAGGGAAUCUUCCGCAAUGGGCGAAAGCCUGACGGAGCAACGCCGCGUGAGUGAAGAAGAUCUUCGGAUCGUAAAACUCUGUUAUUAGGGGAGAACAAAUGUGUAAGUAACUAUGCACGUCUUGACGGUACCUAAACAGAAAGCCACGGCUAACUACGUG